UAUGUCCAAAUACAGGCAUUUGCAGCCG
RNAcentral lists this non-coding RNA (28 nucleotides) under Mus musculus (house mouse). Lineage: Eukaryota; Metazoa; Chordata; Mammalia; Rodentia; Muridae. The record is from RNAcentral.